RNAcentral lists this ribosomal RNA (441 nucleotides) under uncultured bacterium. RNAcentral describes it as "partial 16S ribosomal RNA". It matches the Rfam family "Bacterial small subunit ribosomal RNA", at positions 338 to 795 of the family's 1533-position model. The record is from RNAcentral.
CCUACGUGAGGCUGCAGUGGGGAAUAUUGCACAAUGGGCGAAAGCCUGAUGCAGCAACGCCGCGUGAAGGAAGACGGUUUUCGGAUUGUAAACUUCUGUUCUUAGUGACGAAUCAUGACGGUAACUAAGGAGCAAGCAACGGAUAACUACGUGCCAGCAGCCGCGGUAAUACGUAGGGGGCAAGCGUUAUCCGGAUUUACUGGGUGUAAAGGGAGCGUAGACGGUGCGCCAAGUCUGGAGGGAAAUGCCGCAGCUUAACUGCGGAACUGCUUUGGAAACUGGCGAACUAGAGUGCGGGAGGGGUAAGCGGAAUUCCUAGUGUAGCGGUGAAAUGCGUAGAUAGUAGGAGGAACACCGGUGGCGAAGGCGGCUUACUGGACCGUAACUGACGUUGAGGCUCGAAAGCGUGGGGAGCAAACAGGAUUAGAUACCCGUGUAGUC